Molecule: transfer RNA, 77 nt
Filed under: Treponema rectale
Lineage: Bacteria; Pseudomonadati; Spirochaetota; Spirochaetia; Treponematales; Treponemataceae
Also listed under: 2 other names
Description: tRNA-Glu
Rfam family: tRNA
About the family: Transfer RNA (tRNA) molecules are approximately 80 nucleotides in length. Their secondary structure includes four short double-helical elements and three loops (D, anti-codon, and T loops).
Source: RNAcentral
GGCCCCAUCGACAAGCGGCUUAAGUCACAGCCCUCUCAAGGCUGUAUUCACGGGUUCGAAUCCCGUUGGGGUCACCA